This 253-nucleotide ribosomal RNA is filed under the name uncultured bacterium. RNAcentral's name for it is "partial 16S ribosomal RNA". It matches the Rfam family "Bacterial small subunit ribosomal RNA", at positions 524 to 776 of the family's 1533-position model. The record is from RNAcentral.
GACAGAGGGUGCGAACGUUGUUCGGAAUUACUGGGCGUAAAGCGCAUGUAGGCGGCAGCGCAAGUCGGGCGUGAAAUCCCACGGCUCAACCGUGGAAGUGCACUCGAAACUGCGCAGCUAGAGUCCUGGAGAGGAAGGUGGAAUGCUUGGUGUAGAGGUGAAAUGCGCAGAUAUCAGGAGGAACACCGGUGGCGAAGGCGGGUCUCUGGGCCGAUAUUGACGCUGAGGAGCGAAAGCGUGGGGAGCGAACAGG